This 319-nucleotide ribosomal RNA is filed under the name uncultured Pseudomonadota bacterium. RNAcentral's name for it is "bacterial SSU rRNA". It matches the Rfam family "Bacterial small subunit ribosomal RNA", at positions 30 to 351 of the family's 1533-position model. The record is from RNAcentral. Lineage: Bacteria; Pseudomonadati; Pseudomonadota.
AUUGAACGCUGGCGGCAUGCCUUACACAUGCAAGUCGAACGGUAACGCGGGGCAACCUGGCGACGAGUGGCGAACGGGUGAGUAACACAUCGGAACGUGCCCAGUAGUGGGGGAUAGCCCGGCGAAAGCCGGAUUAAUACCGCAUACGACCUACGGGUGAAAGCAGGGGAUCGCAAGACCUUGCGCUAUUGGAGCGGCCGAUGUCAGAUUAGGUAGUUGGUGGGGUAAAAGCUCACCAAGCCGACGAUCUGUAGCUGGUCUGAGAGGACGACCAGCCACACUGGGACUGAGACACGGCCCAGACUCCUACGGGUGGCAG